CGGAGGGAGCUAGCGUUGUUCGGAAUUACUGGGCGUAAAGCGCACGUAGGCGGCGAUUCAAGUCAGAGGUGAAAGCCCGGGGCUCAACCCCGGAACUGCCUUUGAAACUAGAUUGCUAGAAUCCUGGAGAGGUUAGUGGAAUUCCGAGUGUAGAGGUGAAAUUCGUAGAUAUUCGGAAGAACACCAGUGGCGAAGGCGACUAACUGGACAGGUAUUGACGCUGAGGUGCGAAAGCGUGGGGAGCAAACAGGAUU
RNAcentral lists this ribosomal RNA (254 nucleotides) under uncultured bacterium. Its description in RNAcentral is "partial 16S ribosomal RNA". It matches the Rfam family "Bacterial small subunit ribosomal RNA", at positions 526 to 779 of the family's 1533-position model. The record is from RNAcentral.